Molecule: long non-coding RNA, 332 nt
Organism: Hippopotamus amphibius kiboko
Lineage: Eukaryota; Metazoa; Chordata; Mammalia; Artiodactyla; Hippopotamidae
Exons: 3
Source: RefSeq, a predicted model, not a curated record
CGGAGCCGGGGGAGGGGCGGCCAGGUGCCCGGGGCGCGCGCCCUCGGCGCGGUGGGCGGAGCCCCGGCUUGAGGCGCGGGUCCCGGGGACUGGGGGUUAACUGCCCGGGGCUGGCACGUGGAGGGAGCGGCGGACGCUCCCCGAAGCCGGAGGAGGCUGCGGGGACUGGCCGCACACUGUUGCCAUUCCAGGCUUGUGUGGGAGAAGACUGCUGUGCGCCUGUGUCUGUCCGCCCGGGCGACUCCAGCCCUUGGUUAAUAAAAGCUUAUCCCAGGGAGAUUGGCUAUAGUUCCCUGUGCUAUACGAUCAAUGGUUGAUGUGUAAGUACGGCA